AACGAACGCUGGCGGCAGGCCUAACACAUGCAAGUCGAACGCCGUAGCAAUACGGAGUGGCAGACGGGUGAGUAACGCGUGGGAACAUACCCUCCGGUUCGGAAUAACUCAGGGAAACUUGAGCUAAUACCGGAUACGUCCAAGGUUUUAAUCGGCCUUGGAGAAAGAUUUAUCGCUGGAGGAUUGGCCCGCGUCUGAUUAGCUUGUUGGUGAGGUAAUGGCUCACCAAGGCGACGANCAGUAGCUGGUCUGAGAGGAUGAUCAGCCACAUUGGGACUGAGACACGGCCCAAACUCCUACGGGAGGCAGCAGUGGGGAAUAUUGGACAAUGGGCGAAAGCCUGAUCCAGCCAUGCCGCGUGAGUGAUGAAGGCCUUAGGGUUGUAAAGCUCUUUACCCGGGAAGAUAAUGACGGUACCGGGAGAAUAAGCCCCGGCUAAC
This 440-nucleotide ribosomal RNA is filed under the name uncultured bacterium. RNAcentral describes it as "bacterial SSU rRNA". It matches the Rfam family "Bacterial small subunit ribosomal RNA", at positions 29 to 501 of the family's 1533-position model. The record is from RNAcentral.